AUUGCUCCUCAGCCUUUUGGCUAAAUUCAAAUGUAGUAUCUGUUCUUAUUAGUAUCUUGAAUACAAAAGCCAAAGGCCCUAACCCCAGUGCAUAAUUACUGUAUAUUAUCUUCCCGGUGGUUUCACUUUAUUUUUAAAAAUACUAUACUCAAAGGUGUAUUGGGACAAUACACCGCUUAGAAACUGAG
This is a small nuclear RNA of Hyaena hyaena (striped hyena), 188 nucleotides long. RefSeq annotates it as U2 spliceosomal RNA. NCBI's taxonomy places the organism in Eukaryota, Metazoa, Chordata, Mammalia, Carnivora, Hyaenidae. The record is from RefSeq and is a predicted model, not a curated record. The transcript has a single exon.